RNAcentral lists this ribosomal RNA (535 nucleotides) under Fusarium oxysporum. RNAcentral describes it as "eukaryotic LSU rRNA". The stretch from base 168 to 321 matches the Rfam family "5.8S ribosomal RNA". The record is from RNAcentral. Lineage: Eukaryota; Fungi; Ascomycota; Sordariomycetes; Hypocreales; Nectriaceae.
ACCUGCGGAGGGAUCAUUACCGAGUUUACAACUCCCAAACCCCUGUGAACAUACCACUUGUUGCCUCGGCGGAUCAGCCCGCUCCCGGUAAAACGGGACGGCCCGCCAGAGGACCCCUAAACUCUGUUUCUAUAUGUAACUUCUGAGUAAAACCAUAAAUAAAUCAAAACUUUCAACAACGGAUCUCUUGGUUCUGGCAUCGAUGAAGAACGCAGCAAAAUGCGAUAAGUAAUGUGAAUUGCAGAAUUCAGUGAAUCAUCGAAUCUUUGAACGCACAUUGCGCCCGCCAGUAUUCUGGCGGGCAUGCCUGUUCGAGCGUCAUUUCAACCCUCAAGCACAGCUUGGUGUUGGGACUCGCGUUAAUUCGCGUUCCUCAAAUUGAUUGGCGGUCACGUCGAGCUUCCAUAGCGUAGUAGUAAAACCCUCGUUACUGGUAAUCGUCGCGGCCACGCCGUUAAACCCCAACUUCUGAAUGUUGACCUCGGAUCAGGUAGGAAUACCCGCUGAACUUAAGCAUAUCAAUAAGGCGGAGGAA